UACAGAGGGUGCGAGCGUUAAUCGGAAUUACUGGGCGUAAAGCGUGCGCAGACGGUUUCGUAAGUCGGGUGUGAAAGCCCCGGGCUCAACCUGGGAAUUGCAUUCGAAACUGCGAGGCUAGGGUACGGAAGAGGGAAGCGGAAUUUCUGGUGUAGCGGUGAAAUGCGUAGAUAUCAGAAGGAACAUCAGUGGCGAAAGCGGCUUCCUGGUCCAGUACCGACGUUCAGGCACGAAAGCGUGGGGAGCAAACAGG
RNAcentral lists this ribosomal RNA (253 nucleotides) under uncultured bacterium. RNAcentral's name for it is "partial 16S ribosomal RNA". It matches the Rfam family "Bacterial small subunit ribosomal RNA", at positions 524 to 776 of the family's 1533-position model. The record is from RNAcentral.